Molecule: long non-coding RNA, 208 nt
Filed under: Elaeis guineensis (African oil palm)
Lineage: Eukaryota; Viridiplantae; Streptophyta; Magnoliopsida; Arecales; Arecaceae
Description: long non-coding RNA (EGUI_LNC013930)
Source: RNAcentral
AUAUGUGUGGUUUUAGCAAAAAGGAGGGAAGCUACUGUGAGCGGGUGCUGCCGGAGGAAGCUGGCGAUGUUUCAUCAUAUUAGAAAUUAGGGCAGUAACAAAACAAGGGAUUAGGGCCAAUUCCAGGAAGCCGAGUAACAGUGAGUGUUUAAUGAGAGAGAGAGAGAUCUGGCGCAGAGAGGAUUUGAGAGAAAUAAAGCAUUGGGGU